This is a non-coding RNA of Mauremys reevesii (Reeves's turtle), 1463 nucleotides long. The record is from the annotation of a RefSeq genome assembly. NCBI's taxonomy places the organism in Eukaryota, Metazoa, Chordata, Testudines, Geoemydidae.
GGGGCAUUCCAAGGCAGGGCGGUAAUUCGGGGGAGGAUCCCUCACUCCCACUGGGAGCAAAGGCCCAGCUGCAGAUCACAAUCGCCAUCGUGGCUUUUUUUUGUUUGGUUUUUUUUUGACUGCUUGGGGCGGCAAACCCCCCGGAGCCAGCCCUGAGGCUUUUAGCUAAUUCUUACUAACUGAACUAAAAUGUAUUAAAAAAGUGAAGAGAGUGUUGGUUAAGAGAUCAGUACACACACAGGGAGAUGAGCACAGUUCUCAGCUCAGGUUCAUAGCAGAGAUGGUGAGCACUGUAGGUGCCAAGAUUUCUCUCAGGAUUACUCCCUAGGUAAUGGUCCCACCGGCAGCGUGGUGGGAGCCUGCUCCAGGAGAGGACCUGUGCCAAACGUUGGCUCUCGUGCAUCCCAGGCUGGUAAGAAAAUGCCCAGUUCCGAGCUGAAUAACACAAAGGAUCCAACGGGAGCGCCCACUAGUCCCUGCGGGUAGAAUUGGCAACUCCAGAGCGGUAAUGAAAAGGCUGAUUGGAAACACAAGCGCCUCAACCGGGAGAUUUGUUUCUGCUGCGGGGGAUUAUCCCCGGCUUCCCUGGCUCACACUCAGUGCACAUGGAUCCGGUAACGAUGAGCAGCGACACAAACGCAAACGUUGAUUUCUCUGUCCUUAAAGAAGGGGGCAAAUGCAAAUGGAGCGACAACAUUUCCUGUCACACCCCCGCCGUGUCACCGACCCUGCAGGAGACAAAAGCUGCAGCCCCACGUGUCUGCAGUGAACACCCACAACUCCCACUGGGGAAUUCACGCCGAGCUUAGCGGAAGAUGCUCCUGUGGCUGCAUGUUGCUGUCAUGGCGGCACUUCCCCAAGGGGCCCAUUCGCAGGUUCAGCUGGUGGAGUCUGGGGGAGACGGGAAAAUGGCAGGAGAUUCUAUCAACAUCUCGUGUAAAGCCUCCGGGUUCACCUUUGGUGACUACUGGAUGCACUGGUACCGGCAGGCUCCCGGGAAAGCACCCCAGUGGGUGUCCGGCAUUAGCUAUUGGGCCGGAACCGACAAGAGAUACGCUGUGUCGGUGAAAGGGCGAUUCACCAUCUCCAGAGACAACCCCAACAACCUGCUGUAUCUGCAAAUGACCGGCCUGAAACCCGAGGACGCAGCGAUGUAUUAUUGUCAGAGAGACACAGUGACUUGGCAGGGAAUCUAACCACGUACAAAAACAUCCCCUUUGCCGGCACAGCCCAGGGGAAGGGUCAGACACACACAGAACUGAACCAAGGAGAAAAGUCCCCAGCGCUGUACUCAUCACGCAGGAAAAUAUAAUUUUUGGAGCCCGGUGAAGGCUGCAAAGACGCCAAGGCUGCGACGCAUUCGGAGAGCUGCAGCCUCUCCUCCUGUCCCGGGGGGACACAUUCCAACUUCCGCAACCCAUGAGCCGGGGGCCUACAGACCACAGUGCCCUUCAUUGCCCGGU